GCCUAAUACAUGCAAGUCGAACGGGAUUGAGAGCUUGCUUUCAUGAGAGUGGCGUACGGGUGCGUAACGCGUAUGCAACCUACCUUCAUCAGGGGGAUAGCCCGAAGAAAUUCGGAUUAACACCGCAUAAAAACACAGCUUGGCAUCAAGCAAUGUUCAAAUAUUUAUAGGAUGAAGAUGGGCAUGCGUGUCAUUAGCUAGUUGGUAAGGUAACGGCUUACCAAGGCUACGAUGACUAGGGGAUCUGAGAGGAUGACCCCCCACACUGGUACUGAGACACGGACCAGACUCCUACGGGAGGCAGCAGUAAGGAAUAUUGGUCAAUGGAGGCAACUCUGAACCAGCCAUGCCGCGUGCAGGAAGACUGCCUUAUGGGUUGUAAACUGCUUUUAUACGGGAAUAAACCUUAAUUCGUGAAUUAAGCUGAAUGUACCGUAAGAAUAAGGAUCGGCUAACUCCGUGCCAGCAGCCGCGGUAAUACGGAGGAUCCAAGCGUUAUCCGGAUUUAUUGGGUUUAAAGGGAGCGUAGGCGGCUUGUUAAGUCAGGGGUGAAAGACGGUGGCUCAACCAUCGCAGUGCCUUUGAUACUGACGAGCUUGAAUAUAGUUGAGGUAGGCGGAAUGUGACAAGUAGCGGUGAAAUGCAUAGAUAUGUCACAGAACACCGAUUGCGAAGGCAGCUUACUAAGCUAUUAUUGACGCUGAGGCUCGAAAGCGUGGGGAUCAAACAGGAUUAGAUACCCUGGUAGUCCACGCCCUAAACGAUGAUAACUCGAUGUUGGCGAUAUACAGUCAGCGUCCAAGCGAAAGCGUUAAGUUAUCCACCUGGGGAGUACGCCCGCAAGGGUGAAACUCAAAGGAAUUGACGGGGGCCCGCACAAGCGGAGGAGCA
Molecule: ribosomal RNA, 891 nt
Filed under: uncultured bacterium
Lineage: Bacteria
Description: bacterial SSU rRNA
Rfam family: Bacterial small subunit ribosomal RNA
Source: RNAcentral